This 66-nucleotide transfer RNA is filed under the name Odontophrynus occidentalis. Its description in RNAcentral is "tRNA-Cys". Lineage: Eukaryota; Metazoa; Chordata; Amphibia; Anura; Alsodidae. The record is from RNAcentral.
AGGCUCCGGGGUGUCACACGUAUGAUUGCAAAUCAUAAGAAGCAGGGUAGUUCCUGCCGGGGCUUC